GAGAGUUCAGAUGAGCCGUGCAUGACUCAGUGUAAGCAUUUAUGCAUUGAAAUUGCAAAUGGCUCAUUCAAACAGUUAUAGUUUGCUCGAUGGCCAUCAAGUACAUGGAAAACUAUGGCAGUUCUAGGGCGAGCACAUGCGCCCAAACCCGACUGUGUGGAAGGGCGGUCCGUUGUUUUGUGUUUGAUACAGAACCAGCCCACGCUCUGCACGGUCUUGUGGCGCCACAUAAAAUAAUGAAUUGCAUGGCAUCAGCUGGCAAUGAAUCAUACAAGUUUCUGACCGAUCAGCUUCCGACGGUCGGGUGUUGGCCGACCGUGGCAAUGACGGGUAACGGAUAAUUGGGGCUCGAGUCCGGAGAGGAAGCCUGAGAAACGGCUACCACAUCUAAGGAAGGCAACCAGCGCGCAAAUUACCAAAUCCUGACACAAGGGGUAGUGACAAGCAGUAGCAACACAGGGAAUCCAUGUAUUGUAGUUUGAACGAGUAGCAUUUAAAUC
This 500-nucleotide ribosomal RNA is filed under the name uncultured eukaryote. RNAcentral describes it as "SSU rRNA". It matches the Rfam family "Eukaryotic small subunit ribosomal RNA", at positions 34 to 531 of the family's 1831-position model. The record is from RNAcentral.